RNAcentral lists this ribosomal RNA (551 nucleotides) under uncultured Glomus. RNAcentral describes it as "SSU rRNA". It matches the Rfam family "Eukaryotic small subunit ribosomal RNA", at positions 548 to 1096 of the family's 1831-position model. Lineage: Eukaryota; Fungi; Glomeromycota; Glomeromycetes; Glomerales; Glomeraceae. The record is from RNAcentral.
UUGGAGGGCAAGUCUGGUGCCAGCAGCCGCGGUAAUUCCAGCUCCAAUAGCGUAUAUUAAAGUUGUUGCAGUUAAAAAGCUCGUAGUUGAAUUUCGGGAUCAAUGUUUCGGUCAUGCCGUUGGUAUGUACUGAUAUUAUUGAUUUCUCACCUUCUAAAGAACCGUAAUGCCAUUAAUUUGGUGUCACGGGGAAUUAGGACUGUUACCUUGAAAAAAUUAGAGUGUUUAAAGCAGGCUCACGCUUGAAUACAUUAGGAUGGAAUAAUGAAAUAGGACAUCCGAUUCUAUUUUGUUGGUUUCUAGGAUCGAUGUAAUGAUUAAUAGGGAUAGUUGGGGGCAUUAGUAUUCAAUUGUCAGAGGUGAAAUUCUUGGAUUUAUUGAAGACUAACUACUGCGAAAGCAUUUGCCAAGGAUGUUUUCAUUAAUCAAGAACGAAAGUUAGGGGAUCGAAGACGAUCAGAUACCGUCGUAGUCUUAACCAUAAACUAUGCCGACUAGGGAUCGGAUGAUGUUAAUUUUUUAAUGACUCAGGCACCAGACUUGCCCUCCAA